This is a long non-coding RNA of Suricata suricatta (meerkat), 1120 nucleotides long. RefSeq lists it as uncharacterized. The transcript is spliced from 5 exons. The record is from RefSeq and is a predicted model, not a curated record. Lineage: Eukaryota; Metazoa; Chordata; Mammalia; Carnivora; Herpestidae.
CCGAGCUUGCCGUACGUGGCGCGGGGUGUCGGGGACCCUCCGGCCAGCCCACUCCUUGCCUGGAGAUCCAGGAUGUCGGAGAGCCACGCUCACGGGCUCUAUCCAAGUUUUAGGAAACACGCGCGCGCGCGCACACACACAUACACACACACACACAUACACGCAUACACAACUUACCCCUCUGCGCUCUGCAAGGAAACGAAGAGAUUUGAGAAUUGACUGGUGAGAAGAGUAAAGAGGUGGGACUGCAAGAGGAUUUUAUGCCACGUGGGAAUGGCCGUACAGAACAGUGAUCCGACGUCCUUGGAAGUACCUGACCAAUCUGAUGGUUCCUAGACCUAAAUAACAGAGUAAAGGAAUGGACAACCCAUCCAGCACCGGGGCAAAUUCAGAUGGGACCCCAAAGAAUGGAGAGGAAUAUGAGAAAAGGGAAGUCCAUACUGGGCAGCCUUCAGAUGCCAUAUUUGCUUCCACCUCAGUUGGCUUCUCAUCAUGCUCGCGAGAUCAAUGCUUCUAUUACAACAGUCAUGUGAAAAAAAAUCCAGUGUAAGAAGAAGCAGCAUUCUUCCGAGGUUUUAUACCAAGGAGAUUCCUUAGUAAACAUUCUGCUGGCGAAAUUUCUCCUCAGAGUCUACCUCGUAGGAAACCCAAACCAUGACAACAAUCGAAUGAUUGUACCUUUAAGUACUGAAUAAGUAAAACAGUCAACCCAGCAUUCCAUGUGCUGCAAAGUUAUCUUCCAAAAAUGAAGAAAAAUAAAGAUAUUUUCAGAUGGACAAAAGCUAAGAAUAUGUACAUUGUGCUAUAAGAAAUACUGAAGAAAUUCUUCAAGUGGGAAAUAAAUGACACCAAGAAAUAACCUGCAUUCAAUGGAAGGAAUGAAAAGGACAGGAAAUAGAGAGAGAUUUUGCUCCUCGGGGGACUUUUGGCAAUGUCCAGAGACAUUUUUGGUUGUCACAGCUACAGAAAGGGUAUUCCUGGCAUCUAAUAGAUAAUGUCAGGGACAUCUCUCUUCCCCAAUAGAGAUUGGGGGUCCAUGGUUGAGAAACUCUAGUCUGUAUUCUUAACGUUUCCUCCAUAACUAUUUAAAAUUUAGACAAUAAACAAAAUAAUAAAUCAA